This 449-nucleotide ribosomal RNA is filed under the name uncultured bacterium. RNAcentral describes it as "bacterial SSU rRNA". It matches the Rfam family "Bacterial small subunit ribosomal RNA", at positions 329 to 792 of the family's 1533-position model. The record is from RNAcentral.
GGCCAGACUCCUACGGGAGGCAGCAGUGGGGAAUAUUGGGCAAUGGGCGCAAGCCUGACCCAGCAACGCCGCGUGAAGGAAGAAGGCCCUCGGGUUGUAAACUUCUUUUAUCAAGGACGAAACAAAUGACGGUACUUGAUGAAUAAGCCACGGCUAACUACGUGCCAGCAGCCGCGGUAAUACGUAGGGGGCAAGCGUUAUCCGGAUUUACUGGGUGUAAAGGGAGCGUAGACGGCAUGGCAAGUCAGAUGUGAAAGCCCGGGGCUCAACCCCGGGACUGCAUUUGAAACUGUCAGGCUGGAGUGCAGGAGAGGUAAGUGGAAUUCCUAGUGUAGCGGUGAAAUGCGUAGAUAUUAGGAGGAACACCAGUGGCGAAGGCGGCCUGCUGGACGAUGACUGACGUUGAGGCUCGAAAGCGUGGGGAGCAAACAGGAUUAGAUACCCGGGUA